GAUGAACGCUGGCGGCGUGCCUAAUACAUGCAAGUCGAGCGAACAGACGAGGAGCUUGCUCCUCUGACGUUAGCGGCGGACGGGUGAGUAACACGUGGAUAACCUACCUAUAAGACUGGGAUAACUCCGGGAAACCGGAGCUAAUACCGGAUAAUAUAUUGAACCGCAUGGUUCAAUAGUGAAAUACGGUUUUUCUGUCACUUAUAGAUGGAUCCGCGCCGCAUUAGCUAGUUGGUAAGGUAACGGCUUACCAAGGCAACGAUGCGUAGCCGACCUGAGAGGGUCAUCGGCCACACUGGAACUGAGACACGGUCCAGACUCCUACGGGAGGCAGCAGUAGGGAAUCUUCCGCAAUGGGCGAAAGCCUGACGGAGCAACGCCGCGUGAGUGCUGAAGGUCUUCGGAUCGUAAAACUCUGUUAUUAGGGAAGAACAAAUGUGUAAGUAACUAUGCACGUAUUGACGGUACCUAAUCAGAAAGCCACGGCUAACUACGUG
This 497-nucleotide ribosomal RNA is filed under the name uncultured bacterium. Its description in RNAcentral is "partial 16S ribosomal RNA". It matches the Rfam family "Bacterial small subunit ribosomal RNA", at positions 28 to 507 of the family's 1533-position model. The record is from RNAcentral.